This 407-nucleotide long non-coding RNA is filed under the name Phascolarctos cinereus (koala). Its description in RNAcentral is "lncRNA (ENSPCIG00000025454.2)". The record is from RNAcentral. Lineage: Eukaryota; Metazoa; Chordata; Mammalia; Diprotodontia; Phascolarctidae.
CGACGAUGUCUGGAGCUUCUAACUGGAAUUCACACCUGGCUUUCACAAGUCCCUUCAGCCCUAAGAGCAAACCAAAACUCUGGAGUCAAAGAAGGGGAUACUGGGAAAUCCUACAGGCUUCCACUUCUAGCAUCAUGAUCUCCUUGGCAGUGUUGGAAGAGGCGGGGCUGAGGCACCUACACUGGUAAGAACUUGGAAGUGAAUAUUAAACUACUAUAACCACAUUUUGGUGCUGAUACUGCAUUUUCCUGCUUUAUGGUCUAUGCUGAGCUGUUUGAUUGAACAACAGUCUGCUGUUUAAUCAAGGACCAUGUGUUAUUCUCUAUAAGUGUACUGCAUUAUAAAAGGGAAUAUAAAAUUAAUUUCAGGAUAUAUAUGUUUAAUUAUGCAGCCUUGUGUUAUGUAUC